UACGGAGGGUGCAAGCGUUGUUCGGAUUCAUUGGGCGUAAAGCGAGUGUAGGCGGUUUGACAAGUCGGAUGUGAAAUCCCGGGGCCCAACCCCGGAACUGCAUCCGAUACUGGCUGGCUAGAGUCCCGGAGAGGGUGGCGGAAUUCCCGGUGUAGGGGUGAAAUCCGUAGAUAUCGGGAGGAACACCAGUGGCGAAGGCGGCCACCUGGACGGUGACUGACGCUGAGACUCGAAAGCGUGGGUAGCAAACAGG
RNAcentral lists this ribosomal RNA (253 nucleotides) under uncultured bacterium. Its description in RNAcentral is "partial 16S ribosomal RNA". It matches the Rfam family "Bacterial small subunit ribosomal RNA", at positions 524 to 776 of the family's 1533-position model. The record is from RNAcentral.